Hydra vulgaris (swiftwater hydra) is the source of this 805-nucleotide long non-coding RNA. RefSeq lists it as uncharacterized. NCBI's taxonomy places the organism in Eukaryota, Metazoa, Cnidaria, Hydrozoa, Anthoathecata, Hydridae. The record is from RefSeq and is a predicted model, not a curated record.
AAGUUACGCGAUUUAAAUAUGUAUAAUUAAAACGAAAUAAAAAAUCUAUUAAAAACUUGUUUUUUAUAGGCUAAAUAAUUAAAUUAGAAUAAAAUGCGUUUUCAAGAUUCACUUCCUUACAACAACUGAAAGCAUAACAACUGAUAAAUAAUAAUAAACGAAUGUCGGGUGCGCCAUUUUAAUUGAUGGAAGUUAAAAAGCUUUUUUAUUUUAACAAUCUUCGAUGUUUUAGAAAUUAUUGAUGACCACAUUGACACAGUUAAAAAAUAUGAGUUGCUGGUCUCUUGUCAUGAAAGUCCUGUUGCAAGAACUUUUUUCUUACAUUUGCUAAAGAAAAUUGGUUAAACAAAGGUUUUAAAAACCACUGCAUAUGUUAUGUCGUGACGCUACUAAUUUUCUAAUGUCAAAAAUAAAAAUGGAUGGUAAAAGAAAUUUCGAUAACUUGCAUUCAGAAAAUCCUCUAUAUGUAAAGUUGUUCUGUGUAAUUCUAGUUUCGAUUUAUGAAUUUAUAUUUAAAAUGGUAACUAUUUUACCCUACUUUUUUCGGUUACAAAUCAAUUUACGAAAUUAGACGAUCAGGAUACGAAUGUAGAAUAUGAUAUUGUACAAACAAAUGCAAGAUGAACAAGCGGUAGACGGUAUUCUAGGAAGGUUUUUAAUAAUGCAUAAACCAGAGAAAACAGUGAUCCAAAAUAUUUCUUUAUGAGUUUAUUAAUUUUAUUUUAAGUAAUCUUUGAUUUAGUCUUAAUGUAAACUUUUAUUUGACUUUUUUUUAUUAUCAAAGCAUAAACAAGUAUAGUGUGCA